Molecule: long non-coding RNA, 5179 nt
Organism: Antechinus flavipes (yellow-footed antechinus)
Lineage: Eukaryota; Metazoa; Chordata; Mammalia; Dasyuromorphia; Dasyuridae
Exons: 2
Source: RefSeq, a predicted model, not a curated record
UCUCCAACAGGUCUCCUGUGACGAGGCUGCCCCCAUCGUAAUUAAGGCUGGAGAGCAAUGGAGGGAAAGAAUCUCCUGUCUCACCUAGGCCAAAAAAAUCUCAAGAAAUAAAAAUGAAUGAAUGAGUGACUCUGGGAAGAACCUCAGGGUUUCUGACCAAAGCAAAAAUGAUUGGGAUUUACACUAAGUCUGAGUCAAUCAGGACCCAAACAAAGACCAAAUGGGGUUUAGCAAGGGACCUAUGGGUGGUCAAUGAGAAUCAGACUGAUUUGGGUUUAAGGUUUGUUCCUAAAGAAAGGAAUUAGGGCAGCUAGUGGAGCAGUGGAUAGAGCAGCAGCCCUGAAGUCAAGAGGACCCGAGUUUAAAUCUGGCCUCAGACACUUAAUACUUCCAAGCUGUGUGUCCCUGGAAAAAUCACUUAAACCCAAUUGCCUCAUGAAAAGAAAAAAAGAAAUAAAGGAAGAAAAGAAAGGAAGGAGGGAGGGAGGGAGGGAGGGAAGGAAGGAAAGAUAAAAGAAAUCUAUCCAGGGAUGGCUCAGUGGUGAAGAAAGAGGGGGGGAAAUGCUUUUAAGAGCAUCUACAGGUUAGGGUAUAUAAUAUCCUAAGUGAACAGAGGGAAGGAAGGUGUAAGGUUCUGGUUGGUUUUCAGGAAGACCAUCCUUCCUUUCAGUUGACUAAUCACCGGGAGAACAGCCACAUGUUAAAAUCCAAAUCUUUAUUAUCACCUUCAAAAUCUUGUCUCCUUGCCUGGGGCUCCGGCGAGCUUUCUUGGAAGCCUUCUGGAGUCUUGGCUUCAGUGUAGAAGCGAAGGAGGAGAGGCCGGCCACCAUGAUGCUGUGAGAUGGAGUGAAUGUCUCUCCUUGGCUCCAAGAGCUUCAGCUCCUGCCUCCAGUCCUCUUGUCUUCUCAGAGUCUGACUCUGACCUAGUUUAUAUGCUCUGUUUUAUAGCUUAUAUGCUCUGUCAUAGGUGUGAAUCUUGUAGAACUAUAUUAAGUCCUAAGUACAUGUACUAAACUAGAGAACUAUUAAUCACCAAGCUAAACUAGAUAACCAUUGUCUUAGCAAUUCCACUGACUUAGCACCUUGUAAGAAUCCUUCUUUUAGGUACAGAGUUCUGGCCCAUAACAGGAAGGAAAGAAGAAAAGAAAUAUCUAAACAGGCCAGAAAGGAAGAAGAGAGGGGAGAAAAGAGAAGGGAGAGAGAGAGGGAAGGAAGCAGGAACUGCUUCCAACUGAUGGAUUCCAGCUUGUGGCCAGCUUUCCUCAGAGGAUGUUGCUUUUCCUAUAUAUCUGUACUUAACUGUAGCCUGUAUGUGGAGAGUUGGCAGAGGAUGAAAGUGGAGAGCAGAGAACAAAAGAAAAACUCCAGGAAAGGAAAAAGCCAUGGACGGUUCUGAAUACAAUAUCUUUCAUUUGUAGUUUAUGGCAAUUUAUUAUUACAUAUUUUGAAUCCUUCCUUAUGUUCUGCAGAAAAUAAAACUUUAAAAAAAAUUUUCCUUUUUUUUCUAUUUUAUUUUUAGUUUAAAUACAUAUCAAAAAGUAAAAAUAAAUGCUUUUGGGCUUAAAAAAGAGCUAAGAAAAGUCAUAUUAGACAACCUGAGACCUCUUUCUUUGGUUGUAGAUAGCUGGAUAUCCCAAAAUUUCCAAGAAAGACUUCCAUUAGGAUUAUUAAAUCUUCAUUAAAAGAGAACUGAAAUGCCAUGGAGUCCAAAGGCCUCAUUUUACAGAAGAACAGACUGAGGUUCAGUGAGGUGCUCAGGAUCUCACUACCACAAGAGUCUGAAAAGGGAUUCCAAGCCAGUUUUCCCAUCCCCACCCCCAUCAAAUCAAGAAGCCUCCUGGGAAGAAGCCUGCACUCCAGCUUGAAACUCACUCACCAGGGAGUUGUGAAUGAAUCCAACCAUUCUGGAGAGCAAUCUGGAAUUAUGCCCAAAAAGUUAUCAAACUGUGAUAACCUUUGAUCCAGCAGUGUUACUUCUGGGCUUAUAACCCAAAGAAAUACUAAAGAAGGGAAAGGGACCUGUAUGUGCCAAAAUGUUUGUGGCAGCUCUGUUUGUAGUGGCUAGCACUAGAAAUUGAAUGGAUGCCCAUCAAUUGGAGAAUGGCUGGGUAAAUUGUGGUAUAUGAAUGUUAUGGAAUAUUAUUGUUCUGUAAGAAAUGACCAGAAGGAUGAAUACAGAGAGACUUGGAGAGACUUACAUGAACUGAUGCUGAGUGGAAUGAGCAGAACCAGGAGAUCAUUAUACACUUCGACAAUGAUACUGUAUGAGGAUGUAUUCUGAUGGAAGUGGAUUUCUUUGACAAAGAGACCUAACUCAGUUUCAAUUGAUAAAUGAUGGACAGAAGCAGCUACAUCCAAAGAAAGAACACUGGGAAAUGAAUGUGAACUAUUUGCCUUUUUGUUUUUCUUCCCGGGUUAUUUUUACCUCCUGAAUCCAAUUCUCUCUGUGCAACAAGAGAACUGUUCGGUUCUGCAAACAUAUAUUGUAUCUAGGAUUUACUGCAACAUAUGUAACAUAUAUCUACAAACAUAUAUUGUAUCUAGGAUAUACUGCAACAUAUGUAACAUAUAUAGGACUACUUGCCAUCUAAGGGAGGGGGUAGAGGGAGGGAGGGGAAAAAUUGGAACAGAAGCGAGUGCAAGAGAUAAUGUAAAAAAAAUUACCCUGGCAUGGAUUCUGUCAAUAAAAAGUUAUUAUAAAAUAAAAUAAAAUUUAAAAAAUAAUCAUAAAAAAAAAAAGAAAGAAGCUCACUCACCAGGACAGGAGUUCCUCAGGUUUCCUCUCUCCACAUGGGAGAAGAAAUCUUCUCUGGGAACUGGACAUCCUGGGCAAAGGGAAGAUAGUGGGUGUGAGCCUGGAGAGACAGUUCUCAUUAGAAUAGGAGGGAUGCUAGGCUCACUGCAUGGUUCCAAGGGCAAUUCAAAGAUGGUACUUAUUGCCCAGAGAACAAGGCAGAGGGGAAAGGAGGCCAUGCAAGCAAUCAGGAAUCAGAACAUCCUGGUUUUGCUGCCUCCUUCACAGCAGGAUGGCCACAUCCCACAGCCUCCAUUUUCUGGAUAUUAAAAGCAGCUGGUAGCACAGAGAAGGGAGCACCGGGCCUGCAAUCAGGAAACCCCGAGUGCAAAUUUGGAUUUAGACACAUCCUGGCUAUGUGACUCUGGGCAAGUAAUUUCAUCUGUUUGCUUCAGCCUCCAAACCUGUGAAAUGGAGAUAAAGAUGGAGCUCAAAACAAAGUUUUUUUUUUUUUUUUUUGGGGGGGGCAUCAAGUGCUAUAAUGGGCAUGAAGGAAGCUCUGAGCACACAGCCUGAAUCCCAGAAAAUGUAUAGAAACACUGCCUCCUUUCCCUUUCUCUCCCUGUAUGUGUACAGGUCUUUGGGGGGUGUAUGAAGGAAGAACAAAGACCCACUUGCUGUGCUGGGGAUUUAUGGUUCACACCAGGGGCAGUGAGGUAAAAAUUUAUCCAUUUUACUCAAAAGAACAUUGCAACGACAAAGUGGUUCCCCCCAAGAGGAAGGGGUUCCUUCUCCUAUCCCAAGCUCAGUGAAAAGUGGCAGGAUUGCUUUUCAGAAGAUUUGCAGACAAAACUGCCUGGUUCCUACAGUGCAAAGACCAUUCACAGAAGAACCAGGCAGCAGGAGGACCCUGUCUCUUAAGGAUAGGAGGCAGCCCUUAGGCCUUUCUAGGAAGUAGUAAAAGUCUGAAACUCUGCCCCCUAGGGAGGGGAUGGUGACAUUCCUGUUGAUGGCAGUUCCAGAGUUCCAAGGGAAUGCUCCUUACCCAAAGGACCAAAGAGAGCAAGUUCUCAGCAUUCUCCAGCACGACCUCCUUGUGCAGCUCUUUCUGAUUUGGUCCAACAGAUCCCACUCCUCAGGACUGAAGUCCACAGCCACAUCCUUGAAGGUCACCAGCUCCUAAAACACCAAUCCCCAGAGGACAUAAGAAUUGAAACACGCUUCAUAACUGACUUAAUGCAAUGCUCCUUAAUUUACAGAAGGGACCUGAAGUAUGGAGGAGGGAUCUGCCCAAAGGUGACAGCCCUUACAGGAUUCAGAGCCAGCACUGAAACCAAAGUCCCCCAAAGAACAGUAGACUAUAGAGAAACACACUUAACAUUUUCAUUUGGAAUAAAAUUGAGAAAUUUCUUUAAAAAUAGGAAAUGGCACUGCCUGUGGAAUCAGGGAAGUUAUGGGUUCUAUGACAGAGAGAUGAGGAUUUAUGGAGGUGAAAUCAGACAGUGCUAUGUUAAGAACAUGCCAUCAAGCUAGUGAGUGUUGUGUAUCGUAAGGCUAAAACAUUUCCUUGACCACUCAAGAGAAAAAAAGAUCCUGUAAAUUUUCCAAAAUCCAGAAAUUAAGUCUUAUCCAGAUGAAAACAUUUUCCUUCCCCAGUAGUAUUUUAUUUUUCCAAAUGCAAGUACAGAUAGUUUUUCACAUUCAUUUUCAUAAGAUUUUGUGUUCCAAAUUUCAGAAUCACACAUUUCAUAAUGGAUCUGGCCCAAUGGUCCUCAAUUUACAAAAGCAAACAGAAGCAGAGAGACAAGAUUUACUCAAAGGUGAAAUCCUGUAUGAGAACACUUGGAAGCACAGUCAUGGAAAGACCUUUCACCUACACUGUACAGAGUUGGUGUGGACACAGCUGCUGACAUAUUGUCUUCCAUGUGAGAAUGGAAGCUUCUUGAGGGCAGGGACUGAUUUUUCCUUCUUUGCAUCUCCUCUACAUUCCCACAGAGCCUCUUCCCUUUCUAAAUGCCUGUUGCUUUGACCUAAACAAUGGUAAAAGGAGAAAAAGGCUUGGGAUGAGCUGAAUAUGAUGGAGUUAUUCUAGAAGUACCUAAUUGCAGCUUUGGGGGCAUGGAGGGUGUCAGGAGAUAAAGCAAAUAAAACAGAACAAAAGAAAACAUACCAGGAAGCCAUGAAACACUGGACAGCUCCUGAAAAAUGUGUAGCAUUCAUUAAGUAGAUUUUGUUUUAUAUUGAACCUGCUAUUAUGUUCUGCUGGUUGCUUGAAAUUUUUUCUUCUCUUAUUUUAUAUUUAGGGUUAAAUAAAUUAUAAUAGGGGCCAUUAGAUGGCGCAGUGGCUAGAACAUUGGCCUUGGGUCCAAAUUCAGGCUCAAACACUUAAUUCUUCUGAGUUGUGUGACCCUGGGCAAAGUCACUUCAAGCAAUUGCCUGGGGGGA